UCAGCCAGCCCACCUUGCUCAUUUGUGC
RNAcentral lists this non-coding RNA (28 nucleotides) under Mus musculus (house mouse). The record is from RNAcentral. Lineage: Eukaryota; Metazoa; Chordata; Mammalia; Rodentia; Muridae.